CAAAGCAGAGUACGGCCCUGUGUACUGGUUAUGUGUAUGUAGGCUACAAGAAGCACCUAUUAGUCAGUUUCAAUCCUGGGAUCUGUUGACAGAAAAGAGAGAAACAAACACAGUCAAGACUAGAUUCUGGUGGUAGGCUGCACAAGAAGGUUGGCCACGGUUGGAAGGGGUUUCAUGAGUUGUUUCAUCAUUUUUCUGUCCCAUCCCAGAAUUGUUAUUGUCGAUAAGGGAUAUAAGGAACAUAGAAUUUGGCUGCCCUGGUCCUCGACACGGCCUGAUGCUGCUUCACUGGCUAGCCAACAAUAUUCAAAUUGACAACAUGACACUCAAUUUCAACGCAUCCAGGAAAGACUAUGGCAUUCAUUUCUAUGGAAACGCUGAUAUCCCCAGUCCGUUACCUUCACUGUCCAGUCUCCAUGUAAGAUGAGAUUGGGCAGUGUGCAGUGUGAUGGCUAUUGCAUCAUCGGUGGACCUGUUGGGGCGGUAUGCAAACUUGGGGUCGGUGUUACGCACGCCUCUGUGAAGAGGGAACACAACAACCUGCUACAACUCAACCCUCUGUGAAGUGAAAGAGGUAUGGGACUGUAGGUGCGAGUAAGGAUGACAAAAGGCAGAGAAUUUACCGUUUACAAGGAAUUUAUUCCGUCAUACGAUAAUAUGGGGAAAAGGGGCUGGACGGAACCAAAGCCCCCUCUCCUAUCUUACCUGCCUACCCAAUAUUUAUCUAACUUAGCCCCACCUGGUGCGCUAACCAAAAUACAGGGGGUGGUCUGCCCAGGUCUUACCUAAUGUGCCUAGACAGUGAAUAUACUACGGGUAAAUGUAUGCCCGCGGGCCUCUUGCGUAAGCACUCCCUAGGUGCCUUCCCCUUCCCCCCUGGGAACAAAUGAAACAGAAUUAUCCAAAUGUAAGUAAACAAUUUCAAGAAUCAAAAACACAGUUCUAUUAGCACACACAUACCUCAAAUCAGCGGCUACAACAAUACUUAACAAAACCUGUCUCUGAGCCACAACCAAGACAGGACAUCAAAUCAGCUCUCUUGGUAAUUGGAGACAGCUGCGUCCUGACGAGAGGGGGGGUCAGCUCUCCAAUUAGCCAUGGAGUCGACCAAUCAGCUACUUGGGGGGGAUUUCAGGAAGCCAUUUUGAAACAGACACCUAACAAACCACAACACAGAAACUGGGUAACGUAACAGUCGGCAUGCAAACUUGGGGUCAGCAGGUAUUCUAGUGGUUAGAGUUUUGGACUAGUAACCGAAAGGUUGCAAGAUUGAAUCCCCGAGCUGACAAGGUACAACAUCUGUCGUUCUGCCCCUGAACA
This is a non-coding RNA of Oncorhynchus mykiss (rainbow trout), 1320 nucleotides long. The record is from RefSeq and is a predicted model, not a curated record. Lineage: Eukaryota; Metazoa; Chordata; Actinopteri; Salmoniformes; Salmonidae.